This is a long non-coding RNA of Bufo bufo (common toad), 1217 nucleotides long. RefSeq lists it as uncharacterized. The transcript has 3 exons. The record is from RefSeq and is a predicted model, not a curated record. NCBI's taxonomy places the organism in Eukaryota, Metazoa, Chordata, Amphibia, Anura, Bufonidae.
CAUGCACUAGUUCCCCUGUCCAUCCCCAAUGUGAGUGAAGGACGCUGAGGGGCAUGUGCAGUUGGUAAAAGAUUGAGGCCCACCCUAUUAAAAUAACUAAAUAAGCUUGUUGUAGUCCUAUAGAAAUCCACAGAUAACAAAACAGUUGUAUUAAAGGGGUUUUACCAUCACAUACAAUGGGGGCAUUUCGCUAGGAUAUGCCCCCAUUGUCCGAUAGAGGUGGGACCCGCAUCUACAAUAAGAACGGAGCGGGGAAAUUAAUGGAGGGCGCACCCGCCCUCCAUUCAUUUCAAUGGGGCCGCCGCGCUGGAUGGGCUAUUUUCGUCUGCCCCACAGAAAUGAGCGGGAGCAGGGGCCGCACAUGCGCAGUGCGCUCCCAUUCACUUGUAUGGGAGCAGUGCUUGGUGGUAGACGGACCCCGGGAAUUGCCAGGUUUCCGAAAAUCCCUUUAAUUGACAAACUCGGCUCUGCAAACUCUUUCAGAGCCUCAUUUAUCAUGGCUUUCAUAUGGGAUCAAGGGCAAAUUUAAAGAGGACCUCUAACCUCUCCUGACAGGUCUGUUUUAGUAACUACUUGCAUUCUCUGUGUAAUAACAAUUAUGGAGCCUUUAUUCUUAUGACCCUUUUUUGUGUCUUCUAUUAUUCCUGCUGGAAGUUAAUAAUGACUGUAGCAGUUUGCAAUGAAGGUCCAUAUGGGGUGUGGCCCUGCACAGCCUGCCACAGCACUGCCUGUAUAGUGACACCCCCGCAACUAGUAACACCCAUCUGCACCUUCAUUGCAAACGGCUAUUAUUUCACUCAUAACUUCUUGUAGGAAUAAUGAAGGGAUGAAACGACAUACAGCCAUAAGAAUAAAUGCUCCACAAUGGUUAUUACAUGAGGGAAGCAAGUAGGUAAUAAAAUAGACACGUCAGGAGAGGUUGAACUCUACAGUUCCACCAUCUAGAAGCUAUGCCCCAUGGACUGUUUAUCCGCAUAGUGUAACUACUGUGCAGGAUCCCAGCCGCCACACACUGAGCACAACACUUAAAGACAAGCAAUGGAAUUAAAUGGGCUGUGUAGGAUUAGAAACAGCGCCACACCUGUUCACAGGGUGCAUGUGGUAUUGCGGUUUAGUCCCAUCACUCCAUUAAAGCUGAGCCGCAAUACCAGGUACAACUCAUGGACAGGUGUGGAGCUACUUCUGGAAGAAAGCCUAUUUUUCUAAUCCUGUAAGGC